This 621-nucleotide ribosomal RNA is filed under the name Triticum aestivum (bread wheat). Its description in RNAcentral is "partial small subunit ribosomal RNA". Lineage: Eukaryota; Viridiplantae; Streptophyta; Magnoliopsida; Poales; Poaceae. The record is from RNAcentral.
AUGGUUAGUGUACGAUUGAAUCGGGGGCGUCACAGCUGGCGACGCUCAUUCCCGCUGCCCGGCCUCAUCGAUCUAGGCAGGAAAUCCACACCCGACCACCAUCCUCCUUCUCCUUCUAUGUCCCACAUGCCCCGGUCGCCGGUGAAACACCUUCCACCCAAAUCACCGACCCAUCCUACAAAUAAGCGCAACCCUAAGUCAUGGUACACGCAGUAUAGUCAGGAGCUCAAGGAGCAUUUGGCAGCGGAGAAGCAAAUCAUGGCCGAAUGUGCCGAUAAGGUCGCGAUGGCUGCUAUUCGUGUCGACCCCCAAAUCUUGGAGGAGCACCUCGCCAUCGAGGCCACCGUCGACGCCUCGCAUGCCAACGCCACCAUGAGGUUGACUGCUUUAAACGACAAUUCAUGGCGUUUUCUUGAGGCCACUGUCGGUGCCUUCGACGAGGACUACGCGGUGUUUUCUCAGCGUGUCCGUGCUUACCUCAACUCUAGAGCCAGCAAGUUGGUUCCCAGAGCAGCUCAGGUGACUCACCACUACGAGGAGGGCACCCACGAUAAGGAGGCCUCGCCCUCUUCCAAGUCUAAGGAGACAAUCAUCAACGAUAUCUCCGAUGAUGAUGAGUAG